CAGCGAUUUGUAGUUGUACUGAAGCAUGAAAUCCGAAUGUCAUGCUGUGAGGAUGGUCUGUAAGAGUGAAUCAAUCCACAGAAGAGGGAGGCUGUGAGGUCCAAUUGCAAAGGCUUGGCUGGUCCAGAAACCCUGCUGACUUCUGUUUCCCUGUCACUCUCACCCUUGCUCAUGGUGCCCUGCUCAGCCACUCUGGCUGCCUCUGAGACGUGUACCCAGGUGCUAUCUUCACAGCUUCCCACUGCAGCUUCCUUCAUUCUUUACCCUGACCUAGCACCCUAUUCCCUCAGAUAGGCUUCUCUUGCCAACCCCUCUGUAGAUUUCCCCAUCUUUCUAUGUUGUUAUUCUCUGUUUAUUUCCUGCAGGGCACUUUUCGCAAUUUGCAAUUGCAUACUUAUUUGUUUACUGUCUGUGUCCCAUUAACAUGACCACCACAGCCACCACCUCCAGAUGCUAAGCUCCAAGAAGGCAGGAAACAAAGUUGUUCUCCUCUUGUGGCUGGACCCACUCAGCCUCUCAUUCAUCUUUGCUAAGAAGUGAAUGAGUCUCUCACUUUUUCUCCGGGUAGUAACAGAGCAGUGAGAGUCAGCCUUUCCUGGAACUAAAUCCCAGACUCUUAGCAGCCAUGUGACCUGGGACAAAGCACUUGAACUUCAGGCUCCAAGGGAAUGGAAUAUCUUGCAAGGUAGU
Molecule: long non-coding RNA, 690 nt
Organism: Pipistrellus kuhlii (Kuhl's pipistrelle)
Lineage: Eukaryota; Metazoa; Chordata; Mammalia; Chiroptera; Vespertilionidae
Exons: 3
Source: RefSeq, a predicted model, not a curated record